RNA transcript from Camelus dromedarius (Arabian camel), 3882 nucleotides. It is a transcript of the gene named junction-mediating and -regulatory protein, with no coding region annotated. NCBI's taxonomy places the organism in Eukaryota, Metazoa, Chordata, Mammalia, Artiodactyla, Camelidae. The transcript is spliced from 6 exons. The record is from RefSeq and is a predicted model, not a curated record.
GGUGCGGGGCGGGGAUGCUGUUGGGCACGGCACAGCCAGCGGCUGAGUCCGUUGGCGGGCAGGGCUGGUGACCCUUUCCCCGGGGCCUGGCCCUGGAGCCACCAUGUUUUUGGCGCUCAAGGAGAGACUCCAGUUGGACUGGGUGGCCUGGCGGCUGCAUGUGUUCUACAAGCGGAAGAAGCACAAGUUCAUCUUCAUCAUCUCCUGGAAUGAGAUUGAGGGCAAGUUUGCCAUAACCUGCUAAAACCGGAUGGCCCAGAGGCAGAGGAGCGGCACCAGCGGUCAGGUCUACUUGGGCCACGACCUGGACACCUGUGGCUGGAAGAUCCUCUCCCAAGAAUUCUUCACGGAAACCCACGACUGGGAGUAUUAUGAACCCUUAGCGAGCUGCAGCAGAAGGACCAGGAAGCGCAUCCAGGAGUGAGGCCAGACCCAGGCACUGAGUGAGCAAGACUGCGAGCUGAGAUUCUGGAGCUGCUGCCACCACCACCAGCAUGAGAGCGAGGGAGCACCCGAGGGACCCAGCCCCUGUGCGCUGGCCCAGCUGAGACCUGCGCCCAACCUGGGGCCAGCGGGAGCCACGGCCCCCCGUCUCCCCACUCCCCUCCCCGCCGGCAGCGGCAGCUGCACACGCCGGAGCCCGAGCCGGCGGCCGGGGGGCCGGGAGGCGGCUACCUCGGGCGGGGCUCGUCAGCGGCUCCGCGGUGAGAGGGCGCUGAGACGCGGCUGGAGCUUCUGUCUCAUCCUGGGGCGUGGGGCAAGGGACUCCCAAGGUGGAGGGAAGGGGUCCCAGCCUCAGCGACACCUGUGGGAGCCGGAAGCCGGGGUGGCGCCUAGCGGAGCUGGCUGGAUCCCCCACCUCAGUGCCAUCUCCGCCACCCUUCUGCGUCUAUAGCAUCUCCACCCUGAGUAUAUGAGCCGGGACCCCAAGUUCGGCCACCACCCCCCAGCCAGGGGUGUGGGCGGGGACCCCAAUAUGAAGUAGUGGCCCGGGCAGCGGGAUCAGCAGGACCGGCACCGCCAUCCUUUCCUUCUCUCGCCCUCCCUUCUGCCCCCUUGGGGGUCUUCUCCCUCAACCAGUCACUGGACCCUGGCUCCUCGGCAGGACUCCGGGAGGACGUCUUAGGGCCCCAUCCCCCACCCCAGCCCCGAGGGCGGCGGGUUUGGGGGGACCUGGAGGGCCGACUGCAGCCUUCGCCCAGAGGGAACUUUAUUAAAAUCAAAAUACAGAGCACCCCAAAUCUGACUGUCCAGGGACAAGUGGACCAGGACCGGCAGAAUACCCAGCCUGAAGAGGGCCAGAAAGAGAAGAGGAGGGAAGUGGGGCCGCUGCCUCUUCUGCUCUGUCGCUGUUGAAAAGACCUGGGUGGCUGCCCCGCUUAGCAGCACCAGCCCCGCUUCUUCCUUAGUAAGGCGCGGGCCCUGCCGCAGCUGCCGCCUCCAUCCCGAGGAGGAAGGGAACCAGCCCACCUACAGAGCUCUGGCUCUUCUGUAAUGUGUAAGCUUAUUGUUGAAAAUUUGAAAAAGACUGGGUAAGAGACUACAGAUUGCCUUUAUUUCUUAAUCCAAAGAUGGUGCCGAUGCCCUGUGACUCAGGAGCUGUACCUCCAGGAACUGAGCGCUACAGAUAUGCUCAUGCAACCUUAUCUGAAAGAUUUUCCUAAAUGGCAAUUUUUAUACUUCUUCAUCAACCAUUCCCUUGACUGCUUCUCUUUCAACUCAUAUGCAUAAAAGACUUCACCCCAGGACCAGAUAACAAAACAGUUAAUAACAGGAAGGAUAAGCCUUCAGAACUUGCCAAGCAAAAGGAGAGAUUGGUAUGCACAAAGGUAAAUAUGUAAGAUGAUGAAUAAUUGAAAUUUAAAUGAGUGGCUCACAGUAGUGCUCAAAAAGUUCAAAGAGGAAAGGAAGGCAGGUGGAAGUGGUCCUGUUUGUGUGUGUUUGUGUGUGUGAGCAUGCAUGCUGGGAAAGGAAUUCGGUAAUGGAUGAAGACAUCAUGCAAGAUGGUUGAAGUGUCGGUAACAGUCUUUGGAAUAUGAGUUGAGAAAGGGAAAUAAAAAGUUGAAUUUGGAAAUGAUGCUUGAGGCCAGAAUGUAAAAGGCCUUGAAGGUCAAAUUAAGAUGUGCUGUCAUACAUUAUGUCUUGUCUUUCACAUCAAUAUAUGUUGACCCUCUUAGAAAUGGUGAAUUAGAGAGGAGAUGAAGGGUUCCUUUAAAGAAGAAAUCUAGGCAAACAACAGCACACUGAGGAAAUGGUACCCAGCAAUUGCAUUCCACAAGAUUAAGUACAUUAGCAUUUCUAAAGAAAAAUAAUAAUUUAUAGUACUGUAUGUUUCCUACUACCUACAGAGUUAGAAAAUUGCUCAGUAACAUUGAAUUUGAAAUAUUCAAAGGGUGAGCUAGACAGACACCAAGUAAUCUUUUGUAUGGUUGAGUGUGUGUUUCAAAAUGUUUCAGUUUUUCCUGACAGUGGCCACUUUUAUUAGGUAUUUACCUAGAAGCAGAUUUGCUGGAAUAGGUUUAUCUGUAUGUUCAGGUUAAAGUGGAUACUGACAGAUAUUUGCUUCUCAGGUGAUUGUACCAAUUUACAUGCUCAUCAGCAAUGUAGCAUUCUUUAUGUGCUCCUGAAAGUUAGGAAGUUCUGAGCCUCAAUUCAGUUCUACAAAGGGUAAAAUUUUAAACAAUCUCCUUUGUAGUUCUCAUGCAUACCAAAUUUUUAGAGUUAUUAUCAGUGGUAUAAUAAAUAAAUUAUCUGUCCUUUAUUUCUUGUACCAGACACAGAACUUCAAAACUCUUGGAAUUUCUUGAGUGAGAAGACCGUCUAUUAUGCUAAUGAGGUGACUCAUAGUAGUGGGCCCCAAGUUAACUUCAGCAUGAGCACUAAUCCCAGAAAGACCAGCCACAUAAUUAGAGGGUUAAAAAUUAGGGACACGCUGGACUCUGGGAAAAUGGGAGUAGAUGGUGCUGGAGAUGGAGAUUAGUCAUGUGUCCAAUGAUUUAAUAAAUUAUAAAGCCCAAGUAAAACCUCUGGACUUCAAACUCAGUGAUGCUUUCUGGUUUGUGAAUACCCAGAAUCCACUUGCAGCCAGUGUCUGAGUUUGGCAUAUACUAAGUCUGUGUAAUUUAUUUGUUGAACAACUUAAUGCACUGAUUCUAACCUGAGUCUUACAUCCAACUCUUGUAUCAUUCUGGAAGUAUAAAGUCUACGAGCUUGUGUCUCUCAUGGUGAAGCUUGACAUUUUUGUCCAUGUAGGGAGAUUCAGGAAAGGUAUGACUAAACAGUGGGAAUAUUACUGUGUGGAAAAAGGCAUCAUCAUAGAAAAUGAAAUCCUCUAACACAACAAUUUUCAGUUCAAAGCAAGCCAAAACAAAUUGACUAUUCCACUUGUGACCUAAGCAGUGAGCAUUGGUAUCUCCAGUAAGAUUUGGCCUCUCCAGUAAGAUUAACAAGAGGACAGAUGACUGGAUAAAGAAGUAGUAUAUUUAUACAAUGGAAUAAUGCACAUCCAUAAAAAAAUAAUAAAAUAAUGUCAUUUAUAGCAACAUGAAUGGACUUAGGAAAUAUCAUUCUAAGUGAACGCAGAAAGAGAAAGAAAAAUGCCAUAUGAUAUCACUUACAUGUAGCAUCUAAAAAAUAGAUGAAAUUAUUAAAAAAAACUCACAGACAUAGAAAACAAACUUAUGGUUUCCAGAGGGAGAAGAGAGUAGGAAGGGCUAAAUUGAGAGCUUGAGAUUUGUAGAUAAUAAUAUAUAUAUAAUAUAUAAAAAACAAUUCCAUAUUGUAUAGCACAGAGAACUAUAUUCAAUAUCUUAUAGUAACUUAUGGUGAAAAGGAAUAUAAAAAAGAAUAUAUGUAUGUUAAUGUAUGACUGAAGCAUUAUCC